Molecule: ribosomal RNA, 428 nt
Filed under: uncultured bacterium
Lineage: Bacteria
Description: bacterial SSU rRNA
Rfam family: Bacterial small subunit ribosomal RNA
Source: RNAcentral
UGGGGAAUAUUGGACAAUGGGCGCAAGCCUGAUCCAGCAACGCCGCGUGGAGGAUGAAGGUCUUCGGAUCGUAAACUCCUGUCAGGUGGGACGAAGGCAGUGGGGUGAAUAAUCCUACUGUUUGACGGUACUACCAGAGGAAGCCCCGGCUAACUCCGUGCCAGCAGCCGCGGUAAUACGGAGGGGGCGAGCGUUAUUCGGAAUUAUUGGGCGUAAAGGGCGCGUAGGCGGCUUUCUAAGUCAAAGGUGAAAUCCCUCGGCUCAACUGAGGAACUGCCUUUGAAACUGGAAGGCUUGAGGCCGGGAGAGGGUAGCGGAAUUCCCAGUGUAGCGGUGAAAUGCGUAGAUACUGGGAGGAACACCGGUGGCGAAGGCGGCUACCUGGACCGGAACUGACGCUGAGGCGCGAAAGCGUGGGUAGCAAACAG